UUAAGCGACUAAGCGUACACGGUGGAUGCCCUGGCAGUCAGAGGCGAUGAAGGACGUGCUAAUCUGCGAAAAGCGUCGGUAAGGUGAUAUGAACCGUUAUAGCCGGCGAUGUCCGAAUGGGGAAACCCAGUGCAAUUCGUUGCACUAUCGUUAACUGAAUACAUAGGUUAACGAGGCGAACCGGGGGAACUGAAACAUCUAAGUACCCCGAGGAAAAGAAAUCAACCGAGAUUCCCCCAGUAGCGGCGAGCGAACGGGGAGCAGCCCGGAGUCUGAAUCAGCUUGUGUGUUAGUGGAAGCGUCUGGAAAGUCGCAGGGUACAGGGUGAUACUCCCGUACACUAAAACACACAGGUUGUGAACUCGAAGAGUAGGGCGGGACACGUGGUAUCCUGUCUGAAUAUGGGGGGACCAUCCUCCAAGGCUAAAUACUCCUGACUGACCGAUAGUGAACCAGUACCGUGAGGGAAAGGCGAAAAGAACCCCGGCGAGGGGAGUGAAAAAGAACCUGAAACCGUGUACGUACAAGCAGUAGGAGCCCACUAGUUGGGUGACUGCGUACCUUUUGUAUAAUGGGUCAGCGACUUAUAUUCUGUAGCAAGGUUAACCGUAUAGGGGAGCCGCAGGGAAACCGAGUCUUAACUGGGCGUUAAGUUGCAGGGUAUAGACCCGAAACCCGGUGAUCUAGCCAUGGGCAGGUUGAAGGUUGGGUAACACUAACUGGAGGACCGAACCGACUAAUGUUGAAAAAUUAGCGGAUGACUUGUGGCUGGGGGUGAAAGGCCAAUCAAACCGGGAGAUAGCUGGUUCUCCCCGAAAGCUAUUUAGGUAGCGCCUCGUGAACUCAUCUUCGGGGGUAGAGCACUGUUUCGGCUAGGGGGUCAUCCCGACUUACCAACCCGAUGCAAACUACGAAUACCGAAGAAUGUUAUCACGGGAGACACACGGCGGGUGCUAACGUCCGUCGUGAAGAGGGAAACAACCCAGACCGCCAGCUAAGGUCCCAAAGUCAUGGUUAAGUGGGAAACGAUGUGGGAAGGCCCAGACAGCCAGGAUGUUGGCUUAGAAGCAGCCAUCAUUUAAAGAAAGCGUAAUAGCUCACUGGUCGAGUCGGCCUGCGCGGAAGAUGUAACGGGGCUAAACCAUGCACCGAAGCUGCGGCAGCGACACUAUGUGUUGUUGGGUAGGGGAGCGUUCUGUAAGCCGUUGAAGGUGGCCUGUGAGGGUUGCUGGAGGUAUCAGAAGUGCGAAUGCUGACAUAAGUAACGAUAAUGCGGGUGAAAAACCCGCACGCCGGAAGACCAAGGGUUCCUGUCCAACGUUAAUCGGGGCAGGGUGAGUCGACCCCUAAGGCGAGGCCGAAAGGCGUAGUCGAUGGGAAACAGGUUAAUAUUCCUGUACUCGGUGUUACUGCGAAGGGGGGACGGAGAAGGCUAUGUUGGCCGGGCGACGGUUGUCCCGGUUUAAGCAUGUAGGCGGAUGUUCCAGGUAAAUCCGGAACGUCACUAACGCUGAGGUGUGAUGACGAGGCACUACGGUGCUGAAGUGACAAAUGCCCUGCUUCCAGGAAAAGCCUCUAAGCAUCAGGUAACAUCAAAUCGUACCCCAAACCGACACAGGUGGUCAGGUAGAGAAUACCAAGGCGCUUGAGAGAACUCGGGUGAAGGAACUAGGCAAAAUGGUGCCGUAACUUCGGGAGAAGGCACGCUGAUGGUAGGUGAAGCGACUUGCUCGUGGAGCUGAAAUCAGUCGAAGAUACCAGCUGGCUGCAACUGUUUAUUAAAAACACAGCACUGUGCAAACACGAAAGUGGACGUAUACGGUGUGACGCCUGCCCGGUGCCGGAAGGUUAAUUGAUGGGGUUAUCCGUAAGGAGAAGCUCUUGAUCGAAGCCCCGGUAAACGGCGGCCGUAACUAUAACGGUCCUAAGGUAGCGAAAUUCCUUGUCGGGUAAGUUCCGACCUGCACGAAUGGCGUAAUGAUGGCCAGGCUGUCUCCACCCGAGACUCAGUGAAAUUGAACUCGCUGUGAAGAUGCAGUGUACCCGCGGCAAGACGGAAAGACCCCGUGAACCUUUACUAUAGCUUGACACUGAACACUGGUCCUUGAUGUGUAGGAUAGGUGGGAGGCUUUGAAGUGUGGACGCCAGUCUGCAUGGAGCCAUCCUUGAAAUACCACCCUUUAAUGGCUGGUGUUCUAACGUGGGCCCCUGAUCGGGGUUGCGGACAGUGUCUGGUGGGUAGUUUGACUGGGGCGGUCUCCUCCUAAAGAGUAACGGAGGAGCACGAAGGUCAGCUAAUCCUGGUCGGACAUCAGGAGGUUAGUGCAAUGGCAUAAGCUGGCUUGACUGCGAGCGUGACGGCGCGAGCAGGUGCGAAAGCAGGUCAUAGUGAUCCGGUGGUUCUGAAUGGAAGGGCCAUCGCUCAACGGAUAAAAGGUACUCCGGGGAUAACAGGCUGAUACCGCCCAAGAGUUCAUAUCGACGGCGGUGUUUGGCACCUCGAUGUCGGCUCAUCACAUCCUGGGGCUGAAGUAGGUCCCAAGGGUAUGGCUGUUCGCCAUUUAAAGUGGUACGCGAGCUGGGUUUAGAACGUCGUGAGACAGUUCGGUCCCUAUCUGCCGUGGGCGCUGGAGAAUUGAGGGGGGCUGCUCCUAGUACGAGAGGACCGGAGUGGACGCAUCACUGGUGUUCGGGUUGUCAUGCCAAUGGCAUUGCCCGGUAGCUAAAUGCGGAAGAGAUAAGUGCUGAAAGCAUCUAAGCACGAAACUUGCCCCGAGAUGAGUUCUCCCUGACCCUUUAAGGGUCCUGAAGGAACGUUGAAGACGACGACGUUGAUAGGCCGGGUGUGUAAGCGCAGCGAUGCGUUGAGCUAACCGGUACUAAUGAACCGUGAGGCUUAACCU
RNAcentral lists this ribosomal RNA (2903 nucleotides) under Klebsiella michiganensis. RNAcentral's name for it is "23S ribosomal RNA". It matches the Rfam family "Bacterial large subunit ribosomal RNA". Lineage: Bacteria; Pseudomonadati; Pseudomonadota; Gammaproteobacteria; Enterobacterales; Enterobacteriaceae. The record is from RNAcentral.